RNAcentral lists this transfer RNA (84 nucleotides) under Bernardetia litoralis DSM 6794. RNAcentral's name for it is "tRNA-Leu (TAA) (tRNA-Leu-TAA-1-1)". It matches the Rfam family "tRNA". Rfam says of the family: Transfer RNA (tRNA) molecules are approximately 80 nucleotides in length. Their secondary structure includes four short double-helical elements and three loops (D, anti-codon, and T loops). The record is from Rfam by way of RNAcentral. Lineage: Bacteria; Pseudomonadati; Bacteroidota; Cytophagia; Cytophagales; Bernardetiaceae.
GCUGGAAUGGUGGAACUGGUAGACACGCAGGACUUAAAAUCCUGUGCCUUCAUCGGCGUGUGGGUUCGAUUCCCACUUCUAGCA